AAAAGACAACUUGAAACAUGUUUAAGUAAACUCAAAAUUUAUUUUUGAGUUGAUAAAUUUGUGGGACUAUUUUUGGGCUGUCUCAUGUUACUAUCGGAUUGUCUCUUUUACUGCUGCUUUUAUGGAUUUUAGAGGAGGAAGUGUUUGGAGAAAUUCCACAUAAUGGUAUGGUUGUUUGUUGGUCAUCCGUCAUAACUUCGAAUUGUUUGACACUAUUAUGGUUGUCGUGUUGUGUCUGAAGUGAUAGGGG
This 250-nucleotide long non-coding RNA is filed under the name Nicotiana benthamiana. RNAcentral's name for it is "long non-coding RNA (NBEN_LNC037584)". Lineage: Eukaryota; Viridiplantae; Streptophyta; Magnoliopsida; Solanales; Solanaceae. The record is from RNAcentral.